Molecule: long non-coding RNA, 290 nt
Filed under: Citrus x clementina
Lineage: Eukaryota; Viridiplantae; Streptophyta; Magnoliopsida; Sapindales; Rutaceae
Description: Citrus clementina (C. clementina) long non-coding RNA (CCLE_LNC006830)
Source: RNAcentral
UCAAAUUGAAUUUUGCCAUUCAAGAAAGUCCAGCAAAAUGAGACUCAGCCAAGAAGCAAAAGCAGAAAGAAACCUCCAGGUUAAUCAAAAGCACCCAACUUGCGAAUAUUUCGCUUUUCUAAUGACUUAUGGUGAUCUCCUUCUCUUUUUAUGGUUCUACCUAGCUUCUAAUUUGACGUGCUUGGCUAAGCUCAUGCCCUUCAAACUUCACAAAGAAUUAAACUUACGGAGUUGGGAUCGAUCUUAUUUUUUGUUAAAGUUGGUUGAGUUUAUAUAUCUGGUUAAUUGGC